Molecule: ribosomal RNA, 506 nt
Filed under: uncultured bacterium
Lineage: Bacteria
Description: partial 16S ribosomal RNA
Rfam family: Bacterial small subunit ribosomal RNA
Source: RNAcentral
AGUGAACGCUGGCGGUAGGCCUAACACACGCAAGUCGAACGGCAGCACAGGAGAGCUUGCUCUCUGGGUGGCGAGUGGCGGACGGGUGAGGAAUACAUCGGAAUCUACUCUGUCGUGGGGGAUAACGUAGGGAAACUUACGCUAAUACCGCAUACGACCUACGGGUGUAAGCAGGGGACCUUCGGGCCUUGCGCGAUUGAAUGAGCCGAUGUCGGAUUAGAUAGUUGGCGGGGUAAAGGCCCACCAAGGCGACGAUCCGUAGCUGGUCUGAGAGGAUGAUCAGCCACACUGGAACUGAGACACGGUCCAGACUCCUACGGGAGGCAGCAGUGGGGAAUAUUGGACAAUGGGCGCAAGCCUGAUCCAGCCAUACCGCGUGGGUGAAGAAGGCCUUCGGGUUGUAAAGCCCUUUUGUUGGGAAAGAAAUCCAGCUGGCUAAUACCCGGUUGGGAUGACGGUACCCAAAGAAUAAGCACCGGCUAACUUCGUGCCAGCCGCCGCCGUAA